CGAACCUUACCUGGAUUUGACAUCCCGAGAAGUCUUUCGAAAGAUAGAUGUGCCCUUCGGGGAACUCGGUGACAAGUGCUGCAUGGCUGUCCGUCAGCUCGUGUCGUGAGAUGUUGGGUUAAGUCCUGCAACGAGCGCAACCCCUAUCUUUAGUUACCAUCAAUUCGGUUGGGGACUCUAGAGAUACUGCCCCGGUUAACGGGGAGGAAGGUGGGGAUGACGUCAAGUCCUCAUGGCCUUUAUGUCCAGGGCUACACACGUGCUACAAUGGGCUGUACAAAGGGUCGCGAUCCCGCGAGGAUGAGCCAAUCCCAUAAAGCAGCUCUUAGUUCGGAUUGGAGUCUGCAACUCGACUCCACUAAGCUGGAAUCGCUAGUAAUCGCGGAUCAGCAUGCCGCGGUGAAUACGUUCCCGGGCCUUGUACACACCGCCCGUCACACCAUGAGA
Molecule: ribosomal RNA, 447 nt
Filed under: uncultured delta proteobacterium
Lineage: Bacteria; Deltaproteobacteria
Description: bacterial SSU rRNA
Rfam family: Bacterial small subunit ribosomal RNA
Source: RNAcentral